This 72-nucleotide transfer RNA is filed under the name Capra hircus (goat). It matches the Rfam family "tRNA". From Rfam's summary of the family: Transfer RNA (tRNA) molecules are approximately 80 nucleotides in length. The record is from Rfam by way of RNAcentral. Lineage: Eukaryota; Metazoa; Chordata; Mammalia; Artiodactyla; Bovidae. RNAcentral also lists the same sequence under 1 other name.
UCCCUGGUGCCUCAGAUGGUCAAGAACCUGCCUGCAAUGCAGGAGACCUGAGUUCGAUCCCUGGCUGGGGAA